Molecule: ribosomal RNA, 874 nt
Filed under: Enterobacter sp. NCIM 2696
Lineage: Bacteria; Pseudomonadati; Pseudomonadota; Gammaproteobacteria; Enterobacterales; Enterobacteriaceae
Description: bacterial SSU rRNA
Rfam family: Bacterial small subunit ribosomal RNA
Source: RNAcentral
UGAAAUCCCCGGGGCUCUUUUUUGGGAAAAUGCAUUCAAAACUGGCAGGCUGGAGUCUUGUCAAAGGGGGGUAAAAUUCCAGGUGUAGCGGUGAAAUGCGUAGAGAUCUGGAGGAAUACCGGUGGCGAAGGCGGCCCCCUCGACAAAGACUGACGCUCAGGUGCGAAAGCGUGGGGAGCAAACAGGAUUAGAUACCCUGGUAGUCCACGCUGUAAACGAUGUCGACUUGGAGGUUGUUCCCUUGAGGAGUGGCUUCCGGAGCUAACGCGUUAAGUCGACCGCCUGGGGAGUACGGCCGCAAGGUUAAAACUCAAAUGAAUUGACGGGGGCCCGCACAAGCGGUGGAGCAUGUGGUUUAAUUCGAUGCAACGCGAAAAACCUUACCUACUCUUGACAUCCAAAGAAACUUAGCAGAGAUGCUUUGGUGCCUUUCGGGAACUCUGAGACAGGUGCUGCAUGGCUGUCUCACUCUGUUGUGAAAUGUUGGGUUAAGUCCCCAACAGCGCAACCCUUAUCCUUUGUUGCCGCGUUCGCGGGAACUCAAAGGAACUGCCAGUGAUAAACUGGAGAAGGGGGGAUGACGUCAGUCAUCAUGGCCCUUACGAUAGGGCUACCACGUGCUACAAUGGCAUAUACAAAGAAACGACCUCCGAGACAAGCGGACCUCAUAAAGUAUGUCGUAUCCGGAUUGGAGUCUGCAACUCGACUCCAUGAAGUCGGAAUCCUAGUAAUCGUGGAUCAAAUGCCACGGUGAAUACGUUCCCGGGCCUUGUACACACCGCCCGUCACACCAUGGGAGUGGGUUGCAAAAGAAGUAGGUAGCUUAACCUUCGGGAGGGCGCUUACCACUUUGUGAUUCAUGACUGGGGUGAAG